GACGAACGCUGGCGGCGUGCUUAACACAUGCAAGUCGAACGGAAAGGCCCUGCUUGCUGGGUACUCGAUUGGCGAACGGGUGAGUAACACGUUGUUUAUCUUCCCUGCACUUCUGGAUAAUCCUUUGUAACUGGGUCUAAUACCGUUUAGGAGCCAUUUUUUGUUUGAUUGUUGGAAAGUUUUUUCGGUGUAGGAUGAGCUCGCGGCCUAUCAGCUUGUUUGUGGGGUAAUGGCCUACCAAGGCUGCGACGGGUAGCCGGCAUGAGAGGGUGGACUGCCACAAUGGGAGUGAGAUACGGCCCAGACUCCUACGGGAGGCAGCAGUGGGGAAUAUUGCACAAGGGGCGAAAGACUGAUGCAGAGACGCAGCGUGGGGGAUGACGGAAUUCGGGUUGUAAACACCUUUCGCUAGGGACGAAGCUUUUUGUGACGGUACCUAGAUAAGAAGCACCGGCUAACUACGUG
RNAcentral lists this ribosomal RNA (465 nucleotides) under uncultured bacterium. RNAcentral describes it as "partial 16S ribosomal RNA". It matches the Rfam family "Bacterial small subunit ribosomal RNA", at positions 28 to 507 of the family's 1533-position model. The record is from RNAcentral.